UGUCAGUGUGCAACUUUCUCUCUGGCCUUUUUUUUUACAAGUCGGUAGUGUCCCUGUCCUGCUUUUUUGUUUUUGCAUGUCGGUAGUGUCCCUUGCAUGGUUCCUUCUGUUUCCUACUCAAAACCUUUUCCAAUUGUGUUGCUUUCAGAAUAGGAUCGAUAUGUAUGUAAAAAUAUUCUUGCACCUUGAAACGCUGCAAAAAUAAAUAUAACGUUCUUUACUCCAAGCGGAUCCACCUUUUGACUCCUUGUAGCUAGCUAGCUAGUGCAUGCAUGGAUGCUAGCUAGCUGCACGAUCGAAUUCAAAGUUUACUUGGGGCGAAAGAGAAAGACUCGAUCGAUCACUAUACUAUUACUAUACCCAUGCUACAAGUUGGCAAAUAUACUUCAGUACUAGCCAUUUGUUUCAGAAACUUCCUUCCCUUGGUUCCAAGUUUUAUGUAUUGACUUUGCCGACUCCCACAAUUGGUUGCACGCACAGUUGAACAAGUUGCACAGUAUGCUUAGUUCUUGGAGUAUGUGAUCGAUGGAUGGAUAUUGCUGGUCCUGCAUGCAUGCAUUGGAUUUAUAUCAAUCUCGUCAAAAAAAUUAAAAAAAAUCCGGCCACAUCCCACAUGGGAUCCAUGCGUGCAGCAGCUGACAAACAACUUUUCUAGGCGGAGGAUGCGAUGCGAUCGAUCCGAAUCCUUUAAUUCCUGGGU
This 700-nucleotide long non-coding RNA is filed under the name Brachypodium distachyon (stiff brome). RNAcentral's name for it is "long non-coding RNA (BDIS_LNC001792)". Lineage: Eukaryota; Viridiplantae; Streptophyta; Magnoliopsida; Poales; Poaceae. The record is from RNAcentral.